RNAcentral lists this long non-coding RNA (345 nucleotides) under Phascolarctos cinereus (koala). RNAcentral's name for it is "lncRNA (ENSPCIG00000036900.1)". The record is from RNAcentral. Lineage: Eukaryota; Metazoa; Chordata; Mammalia; Diprotodontia; Phascolarctidae.
GUGUUUUUGGAGAUGAUCAUUUCUCAUUUUUUUUCUUUUGAAAGAAAAGUCUAACUGUCUGAAGAACCAGUGGGAAUGGAGAAUUGGGCUGUGAGAAGGAGGAGGCAAUGGGGUGAUGUCCUUGUUUGGGGAGGAGACAGAUCUGACUGGGCUCUUGACUUGACUCUGCCUGUGAGAUUGACAGACCUUUGGCCAUUCAGAGGACCCAAGGGGCUUUGAAGGAUUGGAAGAGCUUUCUCAAAAGCAGCAAAAGGCAAAGAGACCUACAGGUUUGUGACAGUGGCCCCUCCCCUGCUCUCCCAUCUCCGGAACCCUGUGUGGGUGUGGCCCAAAUAGGAGCAGAAG